Molecule: unclassified non-coding RNA, 257 nt
Filed under: Hevea brasiliensis (rubber tree)
Lineage: Eukaryota; Viridiplantae; Streptophyta; Magnoliopsida; Malpighiales; Euphorbiaceae
Source: RNAcentral
AGGAAAGAAGAAAUAAAUUUGCUGGAGUUUUGUGCUUAUCGCCAAGGAUAAUCUGCAGAUUUGUGUUUUCCUUUUAGUAGAGUCUCUUUUAGUUAUCUUUUUACUCCUAAAUUAAAUUAUGUUUAUCAGUGAUUUGGUUGUUGGUGAUUAGUGAUAUGAAAACUUUGGUUCUUUGCAGAGGACAGAAUUUUUGACGUUACUGGAAAUAUAUAUUUCCUUGUUUUUCUUUUUGAUGUUUUGGUUGACACUUUGACCCA